UAUAAUUGAAAUCCUCUCACUCCAAGCGCGUAGCACUGCAAGGUGGGCAUUUGAUCUUGCUCAGUGAGACCAAAGAUGAAGAUCUCCAGCUGUUUGUCUCAAGAUUACCACGGACGGCAUGUUGAUUUGAUCAAAAACUCGUUUAUUCCUGGCUUUCCAAAUAUUCCAUAGAAUGCAGGUGACAAUCGUAGACCGAAGUGGCUGAUCAAGCUGCUGCAGAAGCUGACACUCGUUUAAGACUUUUCCUGUAGUCGUCAAGUGACAUGUACAUCCUCAGAGCUAGUACUAUGUUAUGUAUGCUACCUCUAAAUCACAAAGGCAAUGACACAGCCAUUAGAGGUAGCAACCAGCUGCAAUUGUUUGAGACGCUCUCAAUUAAGGGCCGGGGGAGUGUACAUGCGACGGCCAUGAAUGCCCACCCACAAGAAGCAGUUCAUGAUCACUGCUGCCACAAACCGAGUUAAUGGCGUAGGUAUACAAUGGAUGACAAGGUUGGAGCACUGUACGACGAUGGAGACUUUAAGGAGCGAGAGGCGCCAUCUAAGCCCAUCUCCUUGUACUACUGGCGCUUCGCCGUGAACUCAUCACGACCGAAUCGAAUGCCAUCUUCGUUCGCCGGCCGGGCUAGAUAGAUGCAAGCUCAGGGCUCAAGGGACACGCAUGAGCCCUGCUCCGCCGCCGUUAAUUCUCCAGCACAGAUCGAUCGCCAAUUCACCAUUGGCUGGAGGCCGCAUCUGCAUGCAUUAUUUAAUCGCAUAUAACUAUAGUCCAUACUCCAUAGUGACAUGCCUGAUGUGCAAACGUUUUCUAGCAUUUUUCUUAUCACAAUUGAUACGAUACGAAGCGUAGCGUAGCAUCAAUCAGCCAGCCUGCAUCUUCUUCUUGAAGCCCAACAAAGCUUCUGUGGGAUCUGGGAAGGGCAAGUACAUCUGCUACAACGCAGGUGUGUUUUAUUAGAGGCGCAGGCCUGCCAUGGCAGCAGGGAGAGAUCACACCACUACACAUCAGAAGCCAACAGACUUUGAUGACGGCUACGUACGCCGUAGCCAAUAGCCGCGGCGCGCGGCUCGGCUCCCGGCCGGCGUAAUGGCGCGCAGCAGGGGCAGCGGCCGGCCGGCCGGCCGGCCGCGCGCGGAGAGGGAACCUUAAAUGUGGGGGAGGAGGUGGAAGAGGGGGUUCCGAGCUGAGCCCAUUUAAGGGCACUCUACUUGCCACACCUUAAAUGCACCCUCACUGUGGCGUUGGAUGCAGCUCAUUUAUGGUGAACCCCCCUCCUCCUCGUCCCUCCUCCUCCUCCCCCGCUCCAUCACGGCCUCUAUAAAUUCAUGGGUAUCCAACAGCGGCAGGAUCCGGCAGCUUGUGUUGUAGAGGGAGCUUGCAGUAUAAAUAGAGACCACGCAGAGUCGCAGAGGAGCGGCAGGGAGUUGUUGCUUACGGGGGAGGAUUUGAG
This 1450-nucleotide long non-coding RNA is filed under the name Setaria italica (foxtail millet). RNAcentral describes it as "long non-coding RNA (SITA_LNC005855)". Lineage: Eukaryota; Viridiplantae; Streptophyta; Magnoliopsida; Poales; Poaceae. The record is from RNAcentral.